Molecule: long non-coding RNA, 4651 nt
Filed under: Fragaria vesca (wild strawberry)
Lineage: Eukaryota; Viridiplantae; Streptophyta; Magnoliopsida; Rosales; Rosaceae
Description: long non-coding RNA (FVES_LNC002966)
Source: RNAcentral
CGAUCCACUAAACUUUGUUCAGUAACCAAGCUGUGCACAUAAACCUGGAAAAUAAAAAAAUAAAAAGCUAUAAAGUGCAUCAUAAAUUCACAAAGCCAAUGCUGGCAGCGUACUAAUAACUUACCUCUGAAGCACCUGCACCAGAUGAACUAGGCUGAAAGGACACGAUCUUGCCUACAAAACCAAAAGACACCGCAUAAAGCAGUAGGGGUAGCCGUAAUAACCGAGACGCCGCAUUAAGCGGGAAGAUGUAAUAACCGAAAGGACGCCGCACGAAACGGGAAUGGGUAAUAACCGAAUGGACGCCGCACGAAACGGGUAUGGGUAAUAACCGAAAGGACGCCGCACGAAGCGGGUAGGGGUAAUAACCGACGGAGGGUAAUAAUGGACGGAACGCCGCACGAAGCGGUAAGGGGUAAUAACCGAAAGGAUGCCGCACGAAGCGGUAGGGGUAGUGACCGACGGGACGCCGCACGAAGCGGGUAGGGGUGAUAACCGACGGGAGGCCGCAUGAAGCGAGUAGGGGUAACAACCGAAGGGAUGCCGCACGAAGCGGGAAAGGGUAAUAACCUAAGAGACGCUGCACGAAGCGGGGAAGGGUUAAUAACCAAAGAGACGCCGAACAAAGCGGAUAGGUGUAAUUGUCAGGACCCACCCCGAAUUUUACCCUAAAACCCGGAGUAAGUCCUGCGAGGACCACUCCCAAGGAAAGAUUUACCGAAAAAUUGGCAAAACCUCCCUUGAAAAUGGACAACCCUUACCUGAAAAAUUUCAAAUUUACACUCCUACUAACACACAUCUAACCUUAACUCCUGGAGCCAUCCGCUCCCCGCAAACACAACCACCACAUAAUCAACAAUACAUCAACAUCCAAACAUCACAUAAAUAUUCAGCUUAAACAUUAAACCUUAUCCUUCAGAUACUCUAAACAGAAAUCAACAGACCGAGCACACCACCGAAAUAAUUUACAUUAAUCCCAAAGUAUUCAGAGCUACUAGACACUAGUGGAAGCAAGAAAACACGGGUAGGUUAAACAGGUAACCUACUGGUGAAAAGUGGAGGAAAUGCGGGUGACUAUGCCUCGCCUCCUACUAGAUCCAACCCGAACUCUACAGACUGGGCAAUUUAAAACAAAUAGCCCAGGGGAAAACAUUUAAUAACGUUAGAGUGAGUGGACAAAAAUAAAUUAAUAAAUAAAAUAUUUAUGUUUCCCCAAAUCAAUUUCCAAAGAAAAAUCGAAUACAUGCCGCAAGUAAUAAAACUUUUAUCUUAUAAAAUAUCGAGCCUCUCAGGCUCUAUAAUAUAUGUAUGUAUUUACACACGUCCAUACUCCCUAUAUAAAUUCAUGGGUCUAUAUAGGGCUGCAACGCUCGCGUCCAAUGCUCACGUCACGCCUUAAUGCGGUGCUACACUACGCCAUUAAGGUGGACAGACGGGUGUAUAAAUAUGUGUCCAUACCCCCUGUAUAAAUUAAACACUCAUGUAGGGCUACUACGCUCACGUCCAACGCUCACGUCACAUCAUAAUGCGGCUAUAUGCUACGCCAUUAAGGUGGACAGACACAUAUGGCUAGCUAGCAUUUAUAUACAUACUCUCCUCAAUAUACAUAUUAUACUUACCGAAAAAUCCCAUUUUUCAGUAACUCUCCAAGAGAAAUAAAAGCGUCAAAAUUAAAUGACGUCAAAACUCCAACAAUUUUAAAUGUUCAACCAAAACCAUAGCAUGCACAUUAUUUAAAAUAAAAGUCCACUCACAAAUUAGGCCUAAGCCUGAUGUCGAUCUGGGGCCUCGUUUCAUCGAGCCUCAUCAUGUCCUGUUCCAAAUAUAAUAUUAAUUUCCCAACCGAAAUUCCAAUACUUACUCAAAAAUAGGCAAAAUAAAUAUGAGCCGUAACCAAGCUCAUUCUCGCCUAACAUCGAUAUUCCUAAAUCGAAACGAUCCAAACUUUAAUACCAUAAUAGGCAGCCUUAACACAACCUCCCACAGAUUUAACGACUUUAAAUCCUACAGCCGGAUUCUACAUUAAUUAACCGCUAAAAAUACCAAACUUCGGAAAAUCUCAAACCUAUCCAAAACUCAUCAAAAAAUUCCAUAAUUCACAUCAAUAAACUCCUCUUAAUUUUCCACAUUUAAAACAAAAAAAUCUCCCACACAGCGGCGGCGGCCGGAGGCCGACUCCGGCGACCUCCAAUGCCUAAGAAAUUUUGACAGCAUCUUCCUCUCAACCCCCUCUACAACUUUCUUAACUAGCACAAACACCAAUUCCAAGCCUAACUAGGUCAAUUGAGCAAAAACAUCCUAAAAGCCUAAAAAAUUCAACUCCACAUUUCUCCUUACCUAGCUCAAGAGAGGGUGAGACCUUUGGAGGGGUUGUUGCACGGGUGGAGGGCUCUCUUUUGAGCCAAGCAGCUCCGGCUAUGGCGGCCGGAGAAGGAAGUUCCGACGAGAAAACCACCACGACAGUCGGACCUCUCGGGGGUGAGAACUCGUUCACGGCGGAGCUAGGGCGGCUCUCACCGGCCUAGAAUGGAAGCUGGGUUGGAGGCCGACCGAACGGGACCGGUGCGGCGGCGGUUGGUGGCCGGAAGACGGCGAACGGUCGGGUUGAAGUUUCGGCAAGGUGAUGGCUUAGGAGGAAGACCGGGAGAGAGAAAGAGAAAAGAAAGAGAGGGAGAUGGGUUUGGGCCUCUCCAAACCGGUCCAACACCUAUAUACCCACACCAACUCCAAAAUAAAACACACCGAAAAAUAAAUACACUAAUAAAAAUUACCUUUUACUAGUUAAAAUUUACCAUUUUUACCGUCGUCAUAUUUUUCUCCUACGAAUAAUCCUCCGAAAAUACAUGUCCCCCAAACCCCUCUAGGGACCAAUUAAACUAUAACCUCAAUGACGGAGACGGUAAAAUUAUUAUUAUAACCAAGCUAGUAAAUAAGGUAAAAAUUUAAGGGUCGGGAUGUGACAGUAAUAACCGAAGGGACGCCGCACGAAACGGGAAGAGGUAAUAACUAAAGGGACGCCGCACGAAGCGGUAAGGGGUAAUAACCGACGGGACGCCACACGAAACGGUAGUGUAAUAACCGAAAGGACGCCGCACGAAGCGGUUAUGGGUAAUAACCGAAGGGACGCCGCACAAAGCGGUAGGGGUAAAAACCGACACAACGUCGCACGAAACGGGUAGGGGUGAUAACCGAAUGGACGCCGCACGAAACGAGAAGGGGUAAGAACCGAUGGGACGUUGCACGAAACAAGAAAGGAUGAUAACCGAAGGGACGUCGCACGAAGCGUGAAGGGGUAAUGACCGAAGGGACGCCGCAUGAAACGGUAAGGAGUAGUGACAGACGGGACGCCGCACGAAGCGGUAGGGGUCAUAACCGAUGGGACGCCACACGAAGAGGUUAGAGGUAAUAACCUAAAAGACGCCGCACGAAGCGGUAAGGGGUAAUAACCGACGGGAUGCCGCACGAAGCGGUAGGGUAGUGACCGAAGGGACGCCGCACGAAGCGGGUAGGGAAUAACCGAUGGGACGCCACACGAAGCGAAAAGGUAAUAACCGAAGGGAUGCAGCACGAAGCGGGGAAGGGGUAAUAACCGAAGGGAGGCCACACGAAAAGGGAAGGAGUAAUAACCGAAGGCAAGCAGCACGAAGCGGUAAGGGGUAAUAACCGAUGGGACGCCACACGAAACGCUAGCAUAAUAAUCGAAAAGACGCCGCACGAAACGGUUAUGGGUAAUAACCGAAUGGACGCCACACAAAGCGGUAGGGGUAAAAACCAACAGAACGCCGCACAAAGCGGGUAGAGGUAAUAACCAAAGGGUCGCUGCACGAAAUGUUAAUGGGUAAUAACCGAAUGGAUGCCGCAGGAAGCGGGGAAGGGGUAAUAACUGACGAAACGUCGCAUGAAGCGGUAAGGGGUAAUAACCGAAGGGACGCCGCUCGAAGCGGUAAGGGGUAAUAACCGACGGGACGCCGCACGAAGUGGGUAGGGGUAAAAACCGACAGAACGUCACACGAAGCGGGUAAGGGUAAUAACCACAGGGUCGCCGCACGAAGUGUUAAGGGGUAAUAACUGAAUAGACGCUGCACGAAGCGGGAAAGGGGUAGUAACCGAAGGACGCCGCACGAAGCGGAAAAGGGUUCUUUAAGAGUUAUGAAAAGAAUAAUUACUUAGUGUUUUAAGUCUUGAAUGUGUUUGUGUAUUUAAGUCUCAAGUAUUUUUAAGAGUCUUAUUAUUAAUAAGUUAUACAAGCCUUAUGGUAUUCUAGGAAACCAGAGGUUUUAUUUAAAGCCUAUAAAUGACUUUCUAAUGUACUCCGAAGAGAAGAUUGGAAUGAAUUAAGAUUUUAGUUAUUGAAGGCUUGGCCUUGUUCCUCCCCCCUAACCUCUCUCAUUUUAUUUCUCUCUUCUAAAGCUAAGAAACCCCUAUCCCUUCCGAAACCCUUAUGUUUUCUUAAUCUGUUUUUUUAAUCGCUCGACAUUCUCCAACCACACUAUUCUCUAUCAUUGACUAUUGGCCUCUCCCUGCAUUAAUGAUAAUUCACCAAUUUUGGUAGUAUAGAAAUAUCAAAGAGAGAUAUAAAGUGCGAAAAAAAGGAAAGACUUGAACAGAAAAAGUUUUACCUGAUAUGUUUCUACUCAUAUGUCACUUCAGA